UCCCUAGGCUAAGUGACAACAAGUGGAG
RNAcentral lists this non-coding RNA (28 nucleotides) under Mus musculus (house mouse). Lineage: Eukaryota; Metazoa; Chordata; Mammalia; Rodentia; Muridae. The record is from RNAcentral.